GCCCAGACUCCUACGGGAGGCAGCAGUAGGGAAUCUUCCACAAUGGGCGCAAGCCUGAUGGAGCAACACCGCGUGAGUGAAGAAGGUUUUCGGAUCGUAAAGCUCUGUUGUUGAAGAAGAACGUGCAUGAGAGUAACUGUUCAUGCAGUGACGGUAUUCAACCAGAAAGUCACGGCUAACUACGUGCCAGCAGCCGCGGUAAUACGUAGGUGGCAAGCGUUAUCCGGAUUUAUUGGGCGUAAAGAGAGUGCAGGCGGUUUCUUAAGUCUGAUGUGAAAGCCUUCGGCUCAACCGAAGAAGUGCAUCGGAAACUGGGAAACUUGAGUACAGAAGAGGGCAGUGGAACUCCAUGUGUAGCGGUGGAAUGCGUAGAUAUANGGAAGAACACCAGUGGCGAAGGCGGCUGCCU
This 409-nucleotide ribosomal RNA is filed under the name Limosilactobacillus equigenerosi. Its description in RNAcentral is "bacterial SSU rRNA". It matches the Rfam family "Bacterial small subunit ribosomal RNA", at positions 329 to 730 of the family's 1533-position model. Lineage: Bacteria; Bacillati; Bacillota; Bacilli; Lactobacillales; Lactobacillaceae. The record is from RNAcentral.